This 373-nucleotide ribosomal RNA is filed under the name uncultured organism. RNAcentral's name for it is "partial 16S ribosomal RNA". It matches the Rfam family "Bacterial small subunit ribosomal RNA", at positions 527 to 896 of the family's 1533-position model. The record is from RNAcentral.
GUAGGUGGCAAGCGUUGUCCGGAAUUAUUGGGCGUAAAGCGCGCGCAGGCGGUUCUUUAAGUCUGAUGUGAAAGCCCACGGGCUCAACCGUGGAGGGUCAUUGGAAACUGGAGAACUUGAGUACAGAAGAGGAAAGCGGAAUUCCACGUGUAGCGGUGAAAUGCGUAGAGAUGUGGAGGAACACUAGUGGCGAAGGCGGCUUUCUGGUCUGUAACUGACGCUGAGGCGCGAAAGCGUGGGGAGCAAACAGGAUUAGAUACCCUGGUAGUCCACGCCGUAAACGAUGAGUGCUAAGUGUUAGGGGGUUUCCGCCCCUUAGUGCUGCAGCUAACGCAUUAAGCACUCCGCCUGGGGAGUACGGCCGCAAAGGCUG